UUUGAAUCUGGCUUCGGCCCGAGUUGUAAUUUGUAGAGGAAGAUUUAGGCGCGGCACCUUCUGAGUCCCCUGGAACGGGGCGCCAUAGAGGGUGAGAGCCCCGUAUAGUUGGAUGCCUAGCCUGUGUAAAUCUCCUUCGACGAGUCGAGUAGUUUGGGAAUGCUGCUCAAAAUGGGAGGUAAAUUUCUUCUAAAGCUAAAUAUUGGCCAGAGACCGAUAGCGCACAAGUAGAGUGAUCGAAAGAUGAAAAGCACUUUGAAAAGAGGGUUAAAUAGCACGUGAAAUUGUUGAAAGGGAAGCGCUUGUGACCAGACUUGCGCCGGGCGGAUCAUCCGGUGUUCUCACCGGUGCACUCCGCCCGGCUCAGGCCAGCAUCGGUUCUCGUGGGGGGAUAAAGGCCCUGGGAACGUAGCUCCUCCGGGAGUGUUAUAGCCCAGGGUGUAAUGCCCUCGCGGGGACCGAGGUUCGCGCAUCUGCAAGGAUGCUGGCGUAAUGGUCAUCAGCGACCCGUCUUGAAACACGGACCAAGGAGUCAAGGUUUUGCGCGAGUGUUUGGGUGUAAAACCCGCACGCGUAAUGAAAGUGAACGUAGGUGAGAGCUUCGGCGCAUCAUCGACCGAUCCUGAUGUAUUCGGAUGGAUUUGAGUAGGAGCGUUAAGCCUUGGACCCGAAAGAUGGUGAACUAUGCUUGGAUAGGGUGAAGCCAGAGGAAACUCUGGUGGAGGCUCGCAGCGGUUCUGACGUGCAAAUCGAUCGUCAAAUCUGAGCAUGGGGGCGAAAGACUAAUCGAACCAUCUAGUAGCUGGUUACCGCCGAAG
Molecule: ribosomal RNA, 818 nt
Filed under: Collariella bostrychodes
Lineage: Eukaryota; Fungi; Ascomycota; Sordariomycetes; Sordariales; Chaetomiaceae
Description: LSU rRNA
Rfam family: Eukaryotic large subunit ribosomal RNA
Source: RNAcentral